AGAGCGAACGCUGGCGGCAGGCCUAACACAUGCAAGUCGAGCGCCCGUAGCAAUACGGGAGUGGCAGACGGGAUAGUAACACGUGGGAACGCGCCCUUCGGUUCGGAAUAACUCAGGGAAACUUGAGCUAAUACCGGAUACGCCCUUACGGGGAAAGAUUUAUUGCCGAAGGGACGGCCCGCGUCCGAUUAGCUAGUUGGUGAGGUAAUGGCUCACCAAGGCGACGAUCGGUAGCUGGUCUGAGAGGAUGACCAGCAUCACUGGGACUGAGACACGGCCCAGACUCCUACGGGAGGCAGCAGUGGGGAAUAUUGGACAAUGGGCGCAAGCCUGAUCCAGCCAUGCCGCGUGGAUGAUGAAGGCCUUAGGGUUGUAAAGCCCUUUUAACGGGGAGAUAAUGACGGUACCCGUAGAAUAAGCCCCGGCUAACUUCGUGCCAGCAGCCGC
Molecule: ribosomal RNA, 447 nt
Filed under: uncultured bacterium
Lineage: Bacteria
Description: SSU rRNA
Rfam family: Bacterial small subunit ribosomal RNA
Source: RNAcentral